This 497-nucleotide ribosomal RNA is filed under the name uncultured bacterium. RNAcentral's name for it is "partial 16S ribosomal RNA". It matches the Rfam family "Bacterial small subunit ribosomal RNA", at positions 28 to 507 of the family's 1533-position model. The record is from RNAcentral.
GACGAACGCUGGCGGCGUGCCUAAUACAUGCAAGUAGAACGCUGAAGCUUGGUGCUUGCACCGAGCGGAUGAGUUGCGAACGGGUGAGUAACGCGUAGGUAACCUGCCUGGUAGCGGGGGAUAACUAUUGGAAACGAUAGCUAAUACCGCAUAACAGUAGAUAUCGCAUGAUAGCUACUUGAAAGGUGCAAAUGCACCACUACCAGAUGGACCUGCGUUGUAUUAGCUAGUUGGUGAGGUAACGGCUCACCAAGGCAACGAUACAUAGCCGACCUGAGAGGGUGAUCGGCCACACUGGGACUGAGACACGGCCCAGACUCCUACGGGAGGCAGCAGUAGGGAAUCUUCGGCAAUGGACGGAAGUCUGACCGAGCAACGCCGCGUGAGUGAAGAAGGUUUUCGGAUCGUAAAGCUCUGUUGUAAGAGAAGAACGAGUGUGAGAGUGGAAAGUUCACACUGUGACGGUAUCUGACCAGAAAGGGACGGCUAACUACGUG